AGAGUUUACUCAACUGCAGGAAGGAAUGGACACGUCCAUGGAAUUAGUUCAUACCGCGUCUCAUUUGAUUUAAAUAUCAUUCAUAUUCUAGAUGUGUUGAAUCUGCUGGCAGUGUAAUGGGUGUAUGAACCAGUUUUCCGUUGCAUAAUUGAGAUCGUAUUCAAAUGACCUCGACCGGAAAACGAGCCGCUAAUGUCCUGUCUCUCUACCAGAAUAAUCGCUCUUCAACAGCAAACUUGGUACGGCAUCAUCCUCGCUAAGAUAUCUGUUCGUUCGGUUUAUUGGAUUCAACACGAUCUGUGUUCAUUCGGUUUAUUGGAUUCAACUCGAUCUGUGUGAAACCAUGUGGUCAAGAGUCUCAUGUGUUUGUGAACAACCACGUAUUAAGUAUUGUUUGUUACCAUCUAAAAGUAGACGUUAGCUGUUGUGUGUCCACUUCACUGCUUGAAGAACCUUGGGACUAACUGGAAAAAGUGAACCAACUCUGUGAGGUCUGCACAUGAUGUGCAACUUCAUCUUUUAGGUGUUGUCUUGUUGAUAAUGACAAAACUGUGAUCUUGUGAUUAUGAACGCUGUACUCUAAGAUACCGUAUGUACAGAGUGAUGCCCGCGCACAUGACAGGAAUUCGUUCAGUUAACUGCAACAGCGAAGACCUGUUGAGGUGCCAUUGUCUUCAGAAACGUGAUUGGUAGGAUGUAGCAAAGGGUAUGUGCAAGCUUC
Molecule: long non-coding RNA, 721 nt
Filed under: Physcomitrium patens
Lineage: Eukaryota; Viridiplantae; Streptophyta; Bryopsida; Funariales; Funariaceae
Description: long non-coding RNA (PPAT_LNC003825)
Source: RNAcentral